This 433-nucleotide ribosomal RNA is filed under the name uncultured bacterium. RNAcentral's name for it is "partial 16S ribosomal RNA". It matches the Rfam family "Bacterial small subunit ribosomal RNA", at positions 29 to 507 of the family's 1533-position model. The record is from RNAcentral.
AAUGAACGCUGGCGGCAUGCCUAACACAUGCAAGUCGAACGGCAGCUGCGGGUCUACUGUCGCAUUGGUGCGUGAACGGGGGGAUCCUGCCCUUAAAUCCGCCAUAUCUCCCCGAAAGGGGUGCUAAUACCGGAUAAUUUCUUCCGACCAAAGAUUUAUCGCCUUUGGAUGGGCCCGCGUGGGAUUAGCUAGUUGGUAGGGUAAAAGCCUACCAAGGCGACGAUCCAUAGCUGGCCUGAGAGGAUGAUCAGCCACACUGGGACUGAGACACGGCCCAGACUCCUACGGGAGGCAGCAGUGGGGAAUAUUGGACAAUGGGCGAAAGCCUGAUGGAGCAAUGCCGCGUGAGUGAUGAAGGCCUUAGGGUUGUAAAGCUCUUUUAUCCGUGAUGAUAAUGACGGUACCGGGAGAAUAAGCACCGGCUAACUCCGUG